CUUGAAUUAAUUAUGAACAUGAUUAAGAAAGCUAAAAUCUCAGGAGCCAGUCUCUCAUUACCCAUUCACUCUUAGGGAUUGCUUUCAUUCAGGGAAGGAGAGGCGAAAAAGCCUUCCAGCAGAGCCCACUCCGGCUCAGCUCUUCUCCCUGUGUGCCUGUCCCCUUGUCUCUGCUGCCGGGCCAACUGACCAAGCCUCCGACAGACAGACCGGCCGGCCGGCCGCCAGCCCGCCCGCCGCCUGGACGGCUCUCUUGCACUCAUGCCUGUUAUGGUGAUGUGGCCAAGCUCAGCUAGCUGCUUCGUGGCCUCUGACGUUUGCAUGGAAAAGAGAGGAUGUGCUCAACCUUCCUGUUCUACACCUGAGUUCAAGCUCUGGGGUCUUGACCCUCUUAAAAAAAGAAACACUCGAGGGUUCAGACAGCCAGCAGACUGGAUUUAGUCCAGACCUGAGUCAGUCACGGUGCAGAUCUUUCUUUCUUCACUUGAGAUAACCAGACAGGACGACACAAUCUUCCGUGAUCCAGGAAGCAACCUCAAACCAUUAAAACAGACAGAAGUCUUUGGAACAAGUCAUGACCGUUCGCCUCCUGUUAUAUGCAGGGAACACAGCAACCUCUUCUGGACAAAAGUGAAAGUAGCAGACAGUGUAAAGAAGCCAGCAUAACCGAAAUGAGCCCUGGCAGCCACAACGAACACAGCCAAGAGCAUGGUAACCUUUUCACCCACAUACGUAAGAUUCUGAUUUGAAAACACAAAAUUGAAGCUUUUACUAAAAGAAAGAAUGGAUCUUUUAAACAGCGUGAGUAAAGAUAUUGCACAGACAAGUAUCAGACUCAAAUAUCACCAUCAAAGAAUGAUCAGAAAACAUUUAGCGCAUGACUUGAAAUAUUACCAACAUCGCCAAGAGAAACCAAACAACUUAAGGUUGGAUAAAUGACACGCUUACAUGAACGCUCUGACUGGGAUGUAAAAGAAUAAUUUUGUCGCCGCUAGAAAACAUAUGAAGAAAUGCCAGUUUUGAAAAAUGUCAUCUUUAAAAGGGAAAUCUAAAUGUCAGAGAGACAGAUACUUUACACAUAGAGAGCGCUGCCUUCUGGGCGUAACACAGAAAGGCGUGAGAAUAAUAUUUUUUUCCCAGUUGAAAUGAACUGCAAUUACCCGUCAUCAGGCACAGAAAGCAGCACGCUUCACAUCCACAGUCACAUCGCCUGGAGAGGAGCGUGGUCACUGUUUGCAACAUUAGUCAGGAAAUCUGAGGAGGAAAGCACAACAAAAGAAAGAAAUGUGUUUUUGUUAUGCCACAGGAAAAAAUAGAGACACUUUGUUCCAAUGUGCGAUAUGUUACUAAAAAAUAUAAUGAAUUAAUAUCAAAAACAGAGCAAUUGUUCAAGUACUAACAGAAAAUUAAUCUGCCAGCAUUUUGAACAAAAA
Amphiprion ocellaris (clown anemonefish) is the source of this 1433-nucleotide long non-coding RNA. Lineage: Eukaryota; Metazoa; Chordata; Actinopteri; Pomacentridae. The record is from Ensembl.